Molecule: ribosomal RNA, 478 nt
Filed under: uncultured bacterium
Lineage: Bacteria
Description: bacterial SSU rRNA
Rfam family: Bacterial small subunit ribosomal RNA
Source: RNAcentral
AACGAACGCUGGCGGCGCGCCUAAUACAUGCAAGUCGAGCGAGAAAGUGUAGCAAUACACUUGUAAAGCGGCGAACGGGUGAGGAAUACAUGGGUAAUCUACCAUCGAGUGGGGAAUAACCAACCGAAAGGUUGGCUAAUACCGCGUACGCCUCCGAGUCUUCGGGUUCGGAGGGAAAGCUGCACUGUGAGUGUAGCGCUCUUUGAUGAGCUCAUGUCCUAUCAGCUUGUUGGUAGGGUAAUGGCCUACCAAGGCUUUGACGGGUAGCUGGUCUGAGAGGACGAUCAGCCACACUGGCACUGCGACACGGGCCAGACUCCUACGGGAGGCAGCAGUAAGGAAUAUUGCGCAAUGGGCGAAAGCCUGACGCAGCGACGCCGCGUGGGGGAUGAAGGUCUUCGGAUUGUAAACCCCUUUCGGGAGGGAGAUGGAGCGAGCAAUCGUUCGGACGGUACCUCCAGAAGCAGCCACGGCCAAC